RNAcentral lists this ribosomal RNA (497 nucleotides) under uncultured bacterium. RNAcentral describes it as "partial 16S ribosomal RNA". It matches the Rfam family "Bacterial small subunit ribosomal RNA", at positions 28 to 507 of the family's 1533-position model. The record is from RNAcentral.
GAUGAGCGCUGGCGGCGUGCCUAAUACAUGCAAGUCGAGCGAACAGAUGAGGAGCUUGCUCCUCUGACGUUAGCGGCGGACGGGUGAGUAACACGUGGAUAACCUACCUAUAAGACUGGGAUAACUUCGGGAAACCGGAGCUAAUACCGGAUAAUAUAUUGAACCGCAUGGUUCAAUAGUGAAAGACGGUUUUGCUGUCACUUAUAGAUGGAUCCGCGCCGCAUUAGCUAGUUGGUAAGGUAACGGCUUACCAAGGCAACGAUGCGUAGCCGACCUGAGAGGGUGAUCGGCCACACUGGAACUGAGACACGGUCCAGACUCCUACGGGAGGCAGCAGUAGGGAAUCUUCCGCAAUGGGCGAAAGCCUGACGGAGCAACGCCGCGUGAGUGAUGAAGGUCUUCGGAUCGUAAAACUCUGUUAUUAGGGAAGAACAAAUGUGUAAGUAACUAUGCACGUCUUGACGGUACCUAAUCAGAAAGCCACGGCUAACUACGUG